This is a long non-coding RNA of Mustela lutreola (European mink), 1177 nucleotides long. RefSeq lists it as uncharacterized. The transcript has 2 exons. NCBI's taxonomy places the organism in Eukaryota, Metazoa, Chordata, Mammalia, Carnivora, Mustelidae. The record is from RefSeq and is a predicted model, not a curated record.
GAAAGAGACAGAAGCGGGGGAGCAGCAGGCGGAGGCAGAGGGAGAAGCAGGCUCCCGCGGAGAGCCUGACACAGGACUCGGUCCCAGGACCCGGGAUCAUGAUCUGAGCCGCAGGCACACGCUUCACCGACAGAGCCCCCCGGGCAUCCCAGCCCUGUUGUAGGCAGGAAACAGGAAGCGAUCUGACACAGAGCCCUGCAUCAAUUAUGAUCAGAUUGGGGAAGUCCUCUUGGAUAAGCGCGUUCCGCCCAGCUGUGCAUCCCGCUCUGAUGGCAGUAGCAGCAGGGGGACCGUCUGACUCACCGGAUGGGCACCCUGCUCCGAGCUGUGGUCCGCAGUUGUUUCCAGGGGCUUCAGAGGCUGCUCUCUGAGCCCCAGGCCCCUUGCUCCUCUCACGACACGCAAAACACGGCUUCAGAAGGGAAAUGGAUGCUUGGCUACAGACGGGCCACAUACACAUAAUUUAAAAAACUGAAUUCUAUCACUUAGACUGUGCUUUGUUUUGCUUUUUAAAAGGAAUCCUGGUCGGAUGCUUUGCGAGUGAAACACAGUGUGCUCUGAGCAGGGUGUGGACAGGUGCCCAAGUAAAGAGGAGGGAUCCAGCACUAAGCCGUGGGACAGGACUUCAUGAGUGGUCAGCGGAGCCCUGGGUCUGCGUCCCGGCUUCCCCAUGUUCCUGGUUCCCAGGCCUGUUGCGAGGGUUGAUGAGGCCCUGGGGCUGUGCUGGUAGAUCGCUUGGUCCAGUUUCCAGCCCCUUCUCUGCACUACUCCUUGCCACAAACACAUCCCAACACACUGUACCAGCUUUUCUCUUUCCCACAGUGGACUGUUUGCAGUGCAUACCCUUACUUUUGUCUUAGAUUUUAUGCAGUGAAACGAACAGGUCCAGGUGUCUGUUACCCCAUGACAGAGGAGGUUAUUGGCAUAAAGUGAAAUGAAGGAAAAACUUACAGCUUCCCCACUGGGUUCCAAAGGCCGCAGUGCCUGUAGAGCACAUGGUUCCCACACCUCACUGUCCCCCGAGAUGCCUAACACGCACGCUAUAGACGCAUUUCUGUGUACUAUGGGGCACUUCAGGUAAUUCCUACUUUACUUGAAUUAUAAUUUGCAAAAAUUAUUCCUGUAAUCACAGGUUUAAACUACUGAAUAAACAUAAAUAUUCCGAAGAAGCACCUUA